Molecule: long non-coding RNA, 2195 nt
Filed under: Danio rerio (zebrafish)
Lineage: Eukaryota; Metazoa; Chordata; Actinopteri; Cypriniformes; Danionidae
Description: lncRNA (ENSDARG00000117640.1)
Source: RNAcentral
AAAUUACUUAAGUUACACUGUUGUCAUUGUGUUGUCUAGAAAUACAAUGAAUAUAUUAGUAAUAACAAUUAUGAGUAUAAACAUGUCUGAAAAGAUUGGGAAGAAAUAUCAUUGUUUUUAAGAUCAUACAUUACAUAGUAAACAAUAUUUUACCAGUCAUGCCUGCUGUUGUCCACACUAAAGCUCCAUCUGAUGUGGAUCUGCUGUGUUUUUCUCUCUCAGGACUCAAUAAUGAGCACAGUGUUGAUUGUGUCUCCCUCAAGAGGAUGAGGGAAUGCUAAUAUUAGUGUAGCGGCUGUGAUGGCUAAAGCAGAGUCUCCACGUUUCCUUUCAUUAAGUUUCAUUGACUGUGAGACCAACAACAAUCUAGCAUGUUAAUGUGAAUUCAUUCUUCUUCUCCUGUCUCUUUCUGCAGGUCCGUCUGAAGUGUCUCUCUCGAUGAGAUAUAACCGUCGGCCCACCUGUCCUGAUGCCACUGUUGGGGUCCACAUGCACACCCCUCCACCCUCCCGCCACCGCAAGAGCCACAGCCUCGGGAAUGCCAUGAUGUGGCAUUUCGGUGUGGUGGAGAGUAAAAGUGCCACAUUUCCCACAGAGAAACCACGCCACCUGCUGGACGACAGCUUCCUGGAGUCCCAGAGUCCAGCCCGAACCCAUCCGCACAGCUCCUCUGUGUCCAACGGCAUCUCUAUAGGCAGCAGUCAGAGUUCAUUCUGUGAUGAUCUUUCUCCAGGAGUCGAGAGGUGAGACUCGGUUUCAUGUUAUAAAUGUGCCUAAAUAUCAUCAUCUGUUCAUUUUGCAGCUUUAGUAUGCUCUUUCCACACUGUAAAAAGUAGCGUUUCUGUAUUUUGUGAUUUAUAUAUAUUUUUUUAUUUUUAAUUCUGCUGUUUAAUUCUGCUUUUGAGUUGCAUAAUGAGAGCUUAAUCUUUCUUCCAACAACGUUUAACCUUGAAAAGGGAACUUUAAUGAACGUCUUGAAUAUUUUGCAGUGGUAUAUUGUCUGUGUUAGUGUUGUAUAUUUGUAUUUAUUAUUAAAACCUUGUAAUAAACUGCAGCACAUGUUCUGUUAUUUUACAGACUUAUUUCUCUAGAUAUUUCUUAUACAUUAUAUUAUUUCAGACUACUAAAAUGUCUAUAAAAGUCACUUUGUUAAACUGCAGAGUUGAAUUUUCAACAUCAAAAGUGGACAGAGCAGAGAUCAACAUCCCAUAAUGAAGUUCACAACCGCAAAUAAACAGAAAACACUUGUGAAUCACUAAAUACACAAACUGUUCAUCAGGUGUAGAGUAAAAAAAACAUCUGUUAUGCGAUAGAAAUAGUCUUUUUGGUGCAGUCUGCGCAUUGGUAAUGUUAAUUAAAGCAACAUCAAUAAGUUGUAGAUUUUUUGGAGAAUGUGUCAUCUUUGUCACUAUUGAAGAAAAUUUAUGAAAAUGAGCUCUUUUGUAAGGUAUUUUGCUCUUAAAUUUGAUUAUAAAAACAGUAUUGUUUGAAUUGUAUUAGCAAAUAUUGAAAUGAACUUACACUGUAAAAGAUAUCCGCUAAUUAAGUUUCUGUAUUUUCUGAGUAUUUUACUUUUAUUUACAGUUGAAUUACAUUAUGGGAUGUUAUGGGAUAUUGAUCUCUGCUCUGUCGACUUUUAAUGUUGAAAAUUUACAGUAAAUUCUAUAGUUUUGUAAUAAUUUAAAGGUUAAGAAAUAAUAUAUAGAGAAAUAAGUCAGAACAUGUGCUGGCGGUUUGUUAUAAGUACAUAAGUAAGACACUAUGGGCUCUAUUUUGACGGUCCAUGCGCAGAGCGCAAAACGCAGGGCGCAAACGCUUUCAGGGCGUGUCAGGACGUGUUUUUGCUAAUUUAAGGACGGGAAAUCUGCCUUGCGCCUCGGCGCAUGGUCUAAAAGGAUUGAGUUUAUUUUCUUAAUGAGUUAUAGGUGUGUUUUGAGAAUAAACCAAUUAGAGUCUCAUCUCCCAUUCCCUUUAAGAGCCAGCUGCGUCGCGCCAAGAGCGCAUUCGCUAUUUACAGGAUGCAAAGUAAGUCUAAGUGGAAAAAAUGAGCAUUUAACUAGCAAACAGUUAACAGUUUUUAACAGAAAACUGUUAAACAGAGCAUCUACUGCGUGAGAAUGAGAGAUAAUGGAUCACUUUCACAUUUGCUCUUGGAUAGGGAAACCUUUACACACAGACAUCAAUUAGUCUAUAAA